This 574-nucleotide ribosomal RNA is filed under the name uncultured bacterium. Its description in RNAcentral is "partial 16S ribosomal RNA". It matches the Rfam family "Bacterial small subunit ribosomal RNA", at positions 355 to 922 of the family's 1533-position model. The record is from RNAcentral.
UGGGGAAUUUUGGACAAUGGGCGAAAGCCUGAUCCAGCAAUGCCGCGUGUGUGAAGAAGGCCUUCGGGUUGUAAAGCACUUUUGUCCGGAAAGAAAUCCUUGGCUCUAAUACAGUCGGGGGAUGACGGUACCGGAAGAAUAAGCACCGGCUAACUACGUGCCAGCAGCCGCGGUAAUACGUAGGGUGCAAGCGUUAAUCGGAAUUACUGGGCGUAAAGCGUGCGCAGGCGGUUUGCUAAGACCGAUGUGAAAUCCCCGGGCUCAACCUGGGAACUGCAUUGGUGACUGGCAGGCUAGAGUAUGGCAGAGGGGGGUAGAAUUCCACGUGUAGCAGUGAAAUGCGUAGAGAUGUGGAGGAAUACCGAUGGCGAAGGCAGCCCCCUGGGCCAAUACUGACGCUCAUGCACGAAAGCGUGGGGAGCAAACAGGAUUAGAUACCCUGGUAGUCCACGCCCUAAACGAUGUCAACUAGUUGUUGGGGAUUCAUUUCCUUAGUAACGUAGCUAACGCGUGAAGUUGACCGCCUGGGGAGUACGGUCGCAAGAUUAAAACUUAAAUGAAUUGACGGGGUCAU